Molecule: small RNA, 125 nt
Filed under: Marmota monax (woodchuck)
Lineage: Eukaryota; Metazoa; Chordata; Mammalia; Rodentia; Sciuridae
Source: RNAcentral
GCCAGGUGUGGUGGCACACGCCUAUAAUCCCAGUGGCUUGGGAGGCUGAGACAGGAGGAUCACAAGUUCAAAGCCAGCCUCAGCAAAAGCAAGGCACUAAGCAAUUCAGUGAGACCCUGUCUCUA